This 1416-nucleotide long non-coding RNA is filed under the name Canis lupus familiaris (dog). RNAcentral describes it as "lncRNA (ENSCAFG00805019055.1, ENSCAFG00845006307.1)". The record is from RNAcentral. Lineage: Eukaryota; Metazoa; Chordata; Mammalia; Carnivora; Canidae.
ACAUCUUCAGUCCUCACAAGAGCAUUGCAAUGUGUUUAUUGUUCUUAUUCACAUAGGGAGAGCAUUUUGCCAGUGGUUACCCUGGGAAAUUUCAGAGCUGCGAUUAGAGCCUGAUCUGUCAGGAUUUAAGGUGUUAUUUAAUUCUAUUGAUCCAAUGUGCCCUUUGGAUCCAGUCUCCUCCCUCCAGGCUUCACAACUCAGUCUCUAGUUGAUCAGAAGUGAUCUUAGAACCCUGAAACCAACAAAAUGACUCUACAACUCUCUUAAUACUUUAAUUUGAAUACCUUGGGAGUAAAAUGGAAAGAUUAAGGGAAAAAACAGGUUUUACUUUUCUAUUCAUCUAUUUAACAGGAACAAUAGAAGCUAAUAGUUAUUGAACACUAUAAUGAUUAAUUCUAUGUGUCAACCUGGCUGAGUCAUACUACUCAUAUAUUUGGUCAAACAUUAUUCUGGAUGUUUCUGUGAAAACAUGUUUUGGAUGAGAUUAGCUUUUAAAUUGGUGAACUUUGAGUAAAGCAGAUUACCCUUCAUAAUGUUUGCGGGACAUAUGCAAUCAGUUAGAGAUCUUAAUAAAAUACUGACCUCUCCCAAGCACAGAGAAAUUAUAUCAGCAAGCUGCCUUUGGACUCAAACUUCAACUCUUCCUUGGGUCUCCAUUCUGUCAGCCUACCCUGCAAUUUUAGGCUUGUAUUUCCACAAUCCUGUGAACUACUUUCUUAAAAGGUCUCUCUUUUCUCUCUUUCUCUUAGAGAUUUGAAUCCUUGAAUCUUAUUAAGAUGAAGGUUCUGAUUCAGUCCACUUGAGGUCAUCUUCCACAAGCUCUCAGGUGAUGCUGUUGCUACUAUGGUUCAGGAGACUCCACUGUGUUUGGCAUGGCUUUAAAGCACUUCUGGCUGUUGGAUCAAGAGUCCUGAGUUCAACUCUGACCCUAGAAAGUUAACCUAUUUGUUAUUUAGUAUCCAUUUCUACAAAACUAUAAUGAUAAGACAACCCAUCUUAUCACAGGGCUGCUCUGAAGAUGAAAUGACAUGGCCAUAUAGAGUUCUCGGAAUAGUGUCUGGCACACUAUAAACACACAAUAAACAAAAUAUGUUAUUUUUAUAUUGUUGUUAUCUUUAAAAUAACACAGUGGUUCUCAAUACAGGGCUGAGGGUAGACACCUGGAAUCAUUUUUGGUUGACAUGAGUGAUUAGAUGGAAAGUGCUGUUGGCAUCUAGUGAGGAGAGGUCAGGGAUGCUGUUAUGCAUCUUACAAAUGAUUAUCUGUCCCAAAAUAUCAAUAGUACCAAGGUUGAGAAACCUUUCAAUAACUCUGCAACUUAGGUAUUAUCACUCCCAGUUUGCAGAUGAAGGCACAGAGAUCCAGAGAUAUGGCUAAGUACACACAGUAACACAGACCAACGUGAAAAUACAGCCC